This 1362-nucleotide ribosomal RNA is filed under the name Rossia sp. GS-2021. RNAcentral's name for it is "16S ribosomal RNA". The stretch from base 857 to 1242 matches the Rfam family "Bacterial large subunit ribosomal RNA", at positions 2049 to 2651 of the family's 2925-position model. The record is from RNAcentral. Lineage: Eukaryota; Metazoa; Mollusca; Cephalopoda; Sepiida; Sepiolidae.
AAAUAAUAGGUAUUGUAAAAUUAUUAUGUUUAUAAUAAAUAAUAUAAAGUAUAUAAUAAUAAAUUGUUUGUUUAUAAAGUAUUAAGGGUAUAGAUUUAAUGUUUGUUACAGUACUGUGAAGGAAUAUAUUGUAUAUUGGUUUAUAGUAGAAUAUAUAUUCGUACCUUUUGUAUAAUGGAUUAAUGAUAUACUGGUCUUAAAUAAGGCAGUCUCGAAAUAAAAAGAUUUACUUAGUGAAUAAUGUGUUAACGUUGAAUAGUUAUAUAUUUAAUACUAAGUGGUAAUGAUAUGUUUAUCGAUUUUUAUGGUAGCUAGUUUAUUGGUUUAAAAUAUUUAAGUAUUGUAAUAUUAAUAUAAUUAUAUAUUUAUUUAAUAUUUUUUAUUAUAUGAGGGAUAAGCUUCAUAUAUUUUAUAGAGUUAGUAUAUUAUUUAGUAAUUGGAGUAGAGUUAAUAGUGCUUUUCUUUAAGAGUAGUUAAAUUAAUUAAUGUUUAGUAAUUCAAGUAUAAGUAAUCAUAAAUAUUUAUAAACUAGGUUUAAAUAAAUAUAAUGUUAAUAUGAGUAUUAUUAUAAAUUAUAAUUUGAUUAUUUUUAGUUGAGUUAAUUUAGUGUAAAUGAUAUAAAGUAAAAUAAGAUAAAGGAAUUCGGCAAAUAUUAAUCUCGCCUGUUUAUCAAAAACAUCUCUCUUUGUUAUAUUAUAUAUAAAGAGUUGGGCCUGCUCGGUGAUGAUUAUUUUUAACAGCUGCGGUAUUUUAACUGUACUAAGGUAGCAUAAUAGUUUGCCUUAUAAUUUGAGGCUAGAAUGAAUGGUUUGACGAAGGUUAAUCUGUCUCUAUUUUAUUUAAUAGAAGUUAAUUUUUAAGUGAGAAGGCUUGAAUUUUUUAAAGGGACGAGAAGACCCUAUUGAGCUUGUAAUUUUAUUUUAUUGUUUAUUAGAAUAGUAAAGUAUAAAUUUUAAUUGGGGUGAUUAAGGAAUAAGAUAAUAUAAGAUAACUUCCUUAAAGGUUAGUAUAGGUGUAUGAAGUAACCAAUAAAUUAUAUUGCUUAUAUUAUAGUUACCAUAGGGAUAACAGCGUAAUUUACUUAGAGAGUUCUUAUUGAAAAGUGAGAUUGCGACCUCGAUGUUGGAUUAAAGUAACCUUAAGGUGUAGAAGCUUUAUUAGGUAAAUCUGUUCGAUUUUUAAAACUUUACAUGAUCUGAGUUCAGACCGGCGUAAGCCAGGUUGGUUUCUAUCUUUUAAAAUGAUUGUAGUUUCUUUUAGUACGAAAGGACCAAAGUGAACUAAAUUAUUGAUUAUAAUAAUUAAUGAAUUGGUAUCUAAUAUUGAUUAGAGAUGUUAAAGUCGAAUUUACAUUAAUGAUUA